Molecule: transfer RNA, 68 nt
Filed under: Acidobacteriota bacterium
Lineage: Bacteria; Pseudomonadati; Acidobacteriota
Description: Acidobacteria bacterium (bioreactor metagenome) tRNA-Leu
Rfam family: tRNA
About the family: Transfer RNA (tRNA) molecules are approximately 80 nucleotides in length.
Source: RNAcentral
GGGUAGCUCAAUUGGCAGAGCACUGGACCAAGGAUCCAGAUGUAGCGGGUUCGAGUCCCGCCCCACCA